This 334-nucleotide unclassified non-coding RNA is filed under the name soil metagenome. RNAcentral's name for it is "partial contains 5.8S ribosomal RNA, internal transcribed spacer 2, and large subunit ribosomal RNA". The stretch from base 1 to 120 matches the Rfam family "5.8S ribosomal RNA", at positions 35 to 154 of the family's 154-position model. The record is from RNAcentral.
GAUGAAGAACGUAGCGAAAUGCGAUAAGUAGUGUGAAUUGCAGAAUUCAGUGAAUCAUCGAAUCUUUGAACGCACAUUGCGCCCCUUGGUAUUCCAUGGGGCAUGCCUGUUCGAGCGUCAUUUGUACCUUCAAGCUUUGCUUGGUGUUGGGUGUUUGUCCAUUCUCUUGCAGAGGGACUCGCCUUAAAGUAAUUGGCAGCCAGUGUUUUGGUUUUGAAGCGCAGCACAAGUCGCGAUUCAAAGCUAUACGCCCGCUUCCACAAGCCUUUUUCACUUUUGACCUCGGAUCAGGUAGGGAUACCCGCUGAACUUAAGCAUAUCAAUAAGCGGAGGA